This 420-nucleotide unclassified non-coding RNA is filed under the name fungal sp. Its description in RNAcentral is "partial internal transcribed spacer region". The record is from RNAcentral. Lineage: Eukaryota; Fungi.
CCGAAAUUCAGAAACCCGAGGACGAGCCACUGAAGAGGAAAUGUCGCAUGGCCGGCGGUGAGGAUGGUGGAAAAAACAAGCGUGGGGGUCAUCGAGACAAUGGCCAACGUGAGCAGCGCCGGAAAACUCAAAUCGGAAUCGACCCAUCGAAUCAUGAACAACCCGAGGAGCGCGGUCAUCAGAGACUGUAAGAAUCGCUUGAUAAAGGAAAAGAUGAAAAUCAACGGAAGAAGAAACGGCGGAAUCCAUGUCUUCGCCUGAUCCAGAAGCUUCGUCGCUUCCGGAGGCCCGAAGGACAUAUCCUUCACGCGGGAAAAAUCAUAGGUGCGCGUUUCCGCCACGGAACGGCGAACCAUCACCUGACGAUCGGUCACCAACACGAUGGCCUGCGCUUCUUCCAGCGUUUUGUAUUUCCCGGUG